This 440-nucleotide ribosomal RNA is filed under the name uncultured bacterium. Its description in RNAcentral is "partial 16S ribosomal RNA". It matches the Rfam family "Bacterial small subunit ribosomal RNA", at positions 338 to 795 of the family's 1533-position model. The record is from RNAcentral.
CCUACGGGCGGCAGCAGUGGGGAAUAUUGGACAAUGGGGGAAACCCUGAUCCAGCGACGCCGCGUGAGGGAAGAAGUAUUUCGGUACGGAAAGCUCUAUCAGCAGGAAAGAAAAUGACGGUACCUGACUAAGAAGCCGCGGCUACCUACGUGCCAGCAGCCGCGGUAAUACGUAGGGGGCAAGCGUUAUCCGGAUUAACGGGGGGGAAAGGGAGCUUAGACGGCAGAGCAAGUCUGGAGUGAAAUGUCGGGGCCCAACCCCGGACCGGCUCUCGAAACUGUGAAGCUGGAGUUCAGGAGCGGUAAGCGAAAUUCCGUGUGUAGCGGUUAAAUGCAUAGAUCUCCGGAGGAACACCGGCGGCUAAGGCGGCUUACUGGACUGUAACUGACGUUGAGGCUCGAAGGCGUGGGGAGCAAACAGGAUUAGAUACCCCAGUAGUC